Molecule: ribosomal RNA, 487 nt
Filed under: uncultured Microbacteriaceae bacterium
Lineage: Bacteria; Bacillati; Actinomycetota; Actinomycetes; Micrococcales; Microbacteriaceae
Description: bacterial SSU rRNA
Rfam family: Bacterial small subunit ribosomal RNA
Source: RNAcentral
AGAGUUUGAUCCUGGCUCAGGACGAACGCUGGCGGCGUGCUUAACACAUGCAAGUCGAACGAUGAUGCCCAGCUUGCUAGGUGGAUUAGUGGCGAACGGGUGAGUAACACGUGAGUAACCUGCCCCUGACUCCGGGAUAAGCGUUGGAAACGACGUCUAAUACUGGAUACGACGGCCGAUCGCAUGGUCUGGUCGUGGAAAGAAUUUUGGUUGGGGAUGGACUCGCGGCCUAUCAGCUUGUUGGUGAGGGUAAUGGCUCACCAAGGCGACGACGGGUAGCCGGCCUGAGAGGGUGACCGGCCACACUGGGACUGAGACACGGCCCAGACUCCUACGGGAGGCAGCAGUGGGGAAUAUUGCACAAUGGGCGAAAGCCUGAUGCAGCAACGCCGCGUGAGGGACGAAGGCCUUCGGGUUGUAAACCUCUUUUAGUAGGGAAGAAGCGAAAGUGACGGUACCUGCAGAAAAAGCACCGGCUAACUACGUG